Non-coding RNA from Podarcis lilfordi (Lilford's wall lizard), 118 nucleotides. The record is from the annotation of a GenBank genome assembly. NCBI's taxonomy places the organism in Eukaryota, Metazoa, Chordata, Lepidosauria, Squamata, Lacertidae.
UUUACCCACUUAAGUCUAGAGAAUCUAACAUGUCUAGAGUGAUAUCCCAAUUUCUUGAAGAGGAAAAAUUAGGAUAUCACUUUAGACACGUUAGACUCUCCAGACCUAAGUGGGUAAG